Long non-coding RNA from Oryza brachyantha (malo sina), 2150 nucleotides. RefSeq lists it as uncharacterized. NCBI's taxonomy places the organism in Eukaryota, Viridiplantae, Streptophyta, Magnoliopsida, Poales, Poaceae. The record is from RefSeq and is a predicted model, not a curated record. The transcript is spliced from 4 exons.
AGAGGAGAGGAGGGAGGGGAGGAGGAGGAGGAGGAGGAGGAGGAGGUGGGGUGAGUGGUUCUCCCGGGGGCUGGAUUUGGUAGGAUGCAAGCCUUCUAUUGGACAGGAGGGGACAAGAGCUAGCCCAAGGUUUUCAAUUGGUCCAAUAGCUUUGCUGUUGCUUGAUGAAAGAAAAAGGCUGAGUUGGAAACAAGCUUCAAUGGCUCCACACCCACUUCCACGUUAGUAGAGAUUUUUUUGGGGCACACAUCAGCAGCACAUGCGGAUGCUUAAUGGGCUCACCCACCGACAUUUUACUAGCACCCCACGCUAGCUCACCUCCUUUCUGAGAUUCUAGAAAACCCAGCAUGUCUUUGUGUGUGAUUGUGCAAGAAAGAAAGCAAAGAAAGGGAAAGGGUGAAGCAAGAAAGGGGAGAAUCUGAUCAAUUUGGACAAUUCGAACUAGUCUUGCUGCAAUAUUUGAAUUUCUAAGAGGAAGGUUGGACUACUUCCAUUCCAUGAGAACAUCUUGGAGUCCUGACCGGACAAAAUACAGGUAAUCCUAUUAUCCUAGUAGAGUAAGCUCGGUUGUUCAUGUUCAAACAAAAGAAUUAUUUUAAUGGUUAAAUCUCCAAUGAUUUAUCCUUAAGAAUUGUAAACUCAUUCGGGGUUUGGUAGUGACAUUGAUUACAGUGCUAAAGAAUAUAUUUUUUGGUACUCCGGUCCAUGCAGCUGCUCCCUUUUGGUGCCAUGAAACCUCACUCUUGCAUUCUUUCUGUUGCAUGAGGCCAAAGAUAAUACCACCAGAUCUACUACAGUUAAAAGUGCUUAUGUGCUCCAUUAAAAAGGGAACUAGUACUGCAAGCAUGGUAUCCAAAGUGAUCACUAACAAUCCUGAAAGGCAAUUUUGCUAGCUAGUAGAUUAUAUGCAGGGUUUAUGUUACCGCAAACAGCUUCAAAACCGCCGUCCGGCGAAGCAAGAUCAUCAUGAUUUUUCACGGUUUUGCAUGGUUUCUCUCUGCGGUAGUCACGGUAACGGUGACAGAAAUGCCAUCGGUUUCGUCUACCCUGAUUACAUUACAUGUGUUUGCAGAAUUUCUGACAUUUUCUCUCUAGCAACAUAUAUAUGGAGCAUGAAAACAUUUUUCCUAACAGCGUAUAACUAUUUUACAUGAAAGCUACAUGUGUGUUGAUGUACACACUUCACCCUAUAUGUCACAUUUUAGCCAUGUUUCUUCAUUUGUGGUGCAGAUAACAAAUGCUGGAAACAGAGUAGUAGUAGGAACAGAUGGAGAGGCUCCUGGCCUUGGCCUUGCAUGUGGAGCAUGGAAAAGUGAGUAGCUAGGAAUUGAUUGGUGGAAAUAACUCCUAGAGGUUAGGUUAGUUUUCUCCUCCUUGUUGGGUGCAGCUGAGUGGCCAGUCCCAUAGUACAGAGAUCUGGUAUCUUUGUCAAGGCCAGGAAGCCUUAAAUGCAUCCAUCAACCACCACUCAUGCUAGCCUCUCUCUCUUUCUCUGCUUGCUUGCACCUACACCAUCCAAUCCAGUCCAGUGCAUGAGUGACCAGACCAGCCAGCCCCCUACAAAACACCAGGCCACACAGCUGAGCAGUGAUGAGUAGGAGUAGGAGGCAGGACCUCCUCAUCAGUAAUGUCACCCUCUUUUCCUCCCUGGAACUGCGUCAUGGACCCGGCCCUCAUGCACAACAAUUCCAUCCUCUCCAGUUUCACAAUACUAGUAGUAUUAUUUAUUUGUAGGUAUUGAACUAUCAACGCUUCAAUAUUUGUCUAUUGAGAAAACCAAUACUCUCUCCGUCUUAGAACAAAAUAAUUUCAUCAUCGCCUCCUUUUAUUUGUCCUAAAAUAUAUUUAUUUUUUUAUCAAAUCAUUGCAUUAGAAUUUGUGAAAGUAAGGAACACAUGAUUUGUAAUUAUAUAUAUUGGAUAACAAUUGCAUUGAGAUUUGAUAAAAUGGGGGGUAUUAUAGUUUUAUUGGUUUUGUAUUGGUAUGUAUGGAUGGGUGAUAAAUGAAGUUAUUUUGAAACAGAGGGAGCACAUAGUGGUUGCAAAAUUCUCACCCUUUAUUCUUAAUGCCAUGAAACUGAUUAUAUUAUGGGUUUCAUGGGGGCAUAUAUGUGGGGUGAUUGUUGGUUUUUUUUGGAAAAAAAAGGUCAA